UUCAUGGGGCGGCUUAAAGAUAAGUGUGGCCACUCCUUUGGAUACGGGGCUGAGCAUUUGUUGUUCUACCAAAGCCCAUAUAGCAGCUGAAGAUCGACGAACUUCGUUUGUUCGUAGGGCGGCGGCACACAGCAGAUGUAAAGGAUGGAUGGGUACAGGAUCCCCGCUUCGGGCUCGAGUGCAACCUGACGGAUCGACGAUGCAUCCUCGGAAUCAGAAGAAGAAGAGGGGAUUGGUUUCCCUGCUGGAGGUGCCGUUGCGGAGUCAAAAUCAGACGAAGAAGAUCAGAACCAGCACAACGGAAAGGCGCCUGCGAUCAACUCGAUGUGCAGCGUUAAGAAGCUUCACGAUUUGAUCGCCUCUCUUGGGGAGGAAAAAAUACAGUAUGUCGUUGAGAUGGAUUUUGGGGGGGCUGCUGGAGCUGAAUACUUUGAUGGUUGGACGCUGAAGACCAAAGGGUAGCAGAAUUGGUUCCCAAAGCUCACCACUGGAGACCAAAGGAGCAGGGUCUGCAACAGGGCAUCCAGCGGGAUCGUCGUGCUACAUUACGCAAGGCAGUGCAUGGGGACAAAGCUACAGCGGACUCUGUCUUCGCAGAUAUGAGAUGAAAUCGACCAAUCUAGGAUGAUUCUGCUUUAUGAGGUUUUGGGGCUAGCUGGAGAUAUUUGGCAACUUCCAGCGAAAUUCAGAGUUUGCCAGACCGAUCGCUGAGGAAGUGAGCAAAGUGAUAUCUUGGUAGUAAUAUUUUAAUGUCACUCUUAUCAACCACCAGACUACAAUACUCUAAUAGUGGUCUUCAGCGCAAUGCCUCUGAGAGCGAACUGCGGCAAUCGCCAUGAUCGAAAUAAGUUUCUACAGACUUCUAAUUUGCCCAAGAGACCUUUUUUAUACAUUGCUAUGCAUUGUUUAAUUCGACUCUGGUUUAUAGAGUGUUUUUGUAAGGCAGUCAAGAAUUAAUUUAGUUGGGAACAGUUAGACUGUAUUUACAUGUGUAUAUUGUAACGUUGUAUACCCUCA
Long non-coding RNA from Triticum aestivum (bread wheat), 1017 nucleotides. RefSeq lists it as uncharacterized. The transcript has 4 exons. NCBI's taxonomy places the organism in Eukaryota, Viridiplantae, Streptophyta, Magnoliopsida, Poales, Poaceae. The record is from RefSeq and is a predicted model, not a curated record.